CGUGGGUUAGGCACAGAUCAUGUUGGGAAAAUGCUUCGCUAUAUCUAGGAAAGAGUGGAGGUUAUGUUCCUGAAGAUGGUGUGUGCAGUUGGUUCAUUAUAUUGGAUGAUCGUGGGUGCGUGCAGUUGGUUCAUUAUGCUCCCGAAGCUUGUGCUGGAGGCUGUCUCUAAAUGUGGUGCAUGUGAUGAAUGGCAAAAUCUCAUGGAGAUUACCAAAGCUUGAAGGAUGUCAAGAACUCUUUGGUCCCAGUAGAGUGAAUGGAGUGAAUCAUGUUAGGUUUUCCUUCAAUGAGAUGGCAUUUUGCUAAAAGUACUCUUCAACACCCUGAUGAAUAGCUUUCAUAAGUGGAGAGAAAGCAGAACAAUAUAUAUCUGUACGAAUCGGAAGGUGGAGGAAGCUUCAGUGGACUGAUGGUAAUGUAUGACAUAUUUUCCACCUUCCUCCUAAAUCUGGCUCAUGACCUCUAUUUUGAAACAUGAAAUUUUGCACUCCUUAAUCAAUGACUAUGUAUGUUGACUAACUAUCAGUAUUCUUUUCUAGAUCUACAAAUAUAUAAUCCGGUGAGUUCUAAAGUUUACCAUAUAUUUAUAUUAAAUAAACUGUAGAACUGCUGAUGAAGUGCUUUAAUUAUUACCGUCAGCUUUGUUUCUUGUUUCUGUGUUCUCCUUUAGUUGGGUGCAGAUAUAAAAAGGAGGAGAAAAAGGUAUGUCUCGAGUGCUUUUCCCCCUUUUGUUUUAUGCAAAUAAAUCUACACCACAUUUUAAAUAUUGGCAACUUCGUGGAUGGUUAUAGUUGGAGAAUCAAAUCCCUACUCCCAAGGCUUUAUUGGAAACCACAGUCAUUCAAAAACCACAUUUUUCCCUUGUUUGAAUGACUUGGUGUAUGCUGUUGCUCCAAUUAUGUUAUCUCUAAUCUUCAAUAAGAUAAUGCAUUGUCAGUGUCUAUGUUAAGGCCUCAGGAGCAGGGCACAGGUAACUGCAUCCACUUGAGACAGAGAGAGAGAGCUAGUGCAAAUAUAUCUGGCUUUCUCUUUUCAUCUACCUAAGUAGAUUUCCAGAGAUGAUUAGCUAUAUAUACCUCACAUCACCAUCGUCCUGAUCACGGGAGGUGGAGUGAUGCAAUCGCAGGUAUGCUGAUGGCAGCAAGAUCUCGUCGGAUGCACUGAGCCAAAUCAAAGGAUAGAUCUUUUUUCGUCUUUUAAUUUUGUGUUUUUUUUCCUUUUCGAAAAAAGGAGUUGCUUGAUGGACAUUAAAUCGGAUGGCCAUGGAUGCUGCAAUCAUGUAAGAUCAGAAAUCACGUAAUUAUUUGCUAAUUUUGUAUUUCUGUAUCAGUCGUGUACCCUUUUUUAAGGGGGGUUUGGAAAUUAUAUAUCUGAUACUUUGAGAUAUA
Non-coding RNA from Musa acuminata subsp. malaccensis (wild Malaysian banana), 1389 nucleotides. The record is from RefSeq and is a predicted model, not a curated record. NCBI's taxonomy places the organism in Eukaryota, Viridiplantae, Streptophyta, Magnoliopsida, Zingiberales, Musaceae.